RNAcentral lists this ribosomal RNA (433 nucleotides) under uncultured bacterium. RNAcentral describes it as "bacterial SSU rRNA". It matches the Rfam family "Bacterial small subunit ribosomal RNA", at positions 28 to 507 of the family's 1533-position model. The record is from RNAcentral.
GAUGAACGCUGGCGGCAUGCCUAACACAUGCAAGUCGAACGAGACCUUCGGGUCUAGUGGCGCACGGGUGCGUAACGCGUGGGAACCUGCCUUUAGGUUCGGAAUAACAGUGAGAAAUUACUGCUAAUACCGGAUGAUGUCUUCGGACCAAAGAUUUAUCGCCUUUAGAUGGGCCCGCGUUGGAUUAGGUAGUUGGUGGGGUAAUGGCCUACCAAGCCGACGAUCCAUAGCUGGUUUGAGAGGAUGAUCAGCCACACUGGGACUGAGACACGGCCCAGACUCCUACGGGAGGCAGCAGUGGGGAAUCUUAGACAAUGGGGGAAACCCUGAUCUAGCCAUGCCGCGUGAUCGAUGAAGGCCUUAGGGUUGUAAAGAUCUUUCAGAUGGGAAGAUAAUGACGGUACCAUCAGAAGAAGCCCCGGCUAACUCCGUG